This is a small nuclear RNA of Neotoma lepida (desert woodrat), 62 nucleotides long. It matches the Rfam family "U4 spliceosomal RNA". From Rfam's summary of the family: U4 small nuclear RNA (U4 snRNA) is a component of the major U2-dependent spliceosome. The structure of U4 snRNA from yeast and human has been reported. Lineage: Eukaryota; Metazoa; Chordata; Mammalia; Rodentia; Cricetidae. The record is from Rfam.
ANCUUUGCGNAGUGGCAGUAUCGUAGCCAAUGAGGUUUAUCCGAGGCACGAUUAUUGCUAAA